UACGUAGGGUGCAAGCGUUAAUCGGAAUUACUGGGCGUAAAGCGUGCGCAGGCGGUGAUGUAAGACAGAGGUGAGAUCCCCGGGCUCAACCUGGGAACUGCCUUUGUGACUGCAUCGCUGGAGUACGGCAGAGGGGGAUGGAAUUCCGCGUGUAGCAGUGAAAUGCGUAGAUAUGCGGAGGAACACCGAUGGCGAAGGCAAUCCCCUGGGCCUGCACUGACGCUCAUGCACGAAAGCAUGGGGAGCAAACAGG
RNAcentral lists this unclassified non-coding RNA (253 nucleotides) under uncultured Gammaproteobacteria bacterium. RNAcentral describes it as "contains 16S-23S intergenic spacer region". It matches the Rfam family "Bacterial small subunit ribosomal RNA", at positions 524 to 776 of the family's 1533-position model. The record is from RNAcentral. Lineage: Bacteria; Pseudomonadati; Pseudomonadota; Gammaproteobacteria.